GGAGAGGUGCCAGAGCGGUUGAAUGGGCCGGUCUUGAAAACCGGUAGGGCCUUACGGCUCUCGUGGGUUCAAAUCCCACCCUCUCCG
This 87-nucleotide transfer RNA is filed under the name Candidatus Hydrogenedentes bacterium CG1_02_42_14. RNAcentral's name for it is "tRNA-Ser". It matches the Rfam family "tRNA". From Rfam's summary of the family: Transfer RNA (tRNA) molecules are approximately 80 nucleotides in length. Their secondary structure includes four short double-helical elements and three loops (D, anti-codon, and T loops). RNAcentral also lists the same sequence under 1 other name. The record is from RNAcentral. Lineage: Bacteria; Pseudomonadati; Candidatus Hydrogenedentota.